AUGGGGACUCUGGCGGGACCGCCGGCGUCAAGCCGGAGGAAGGCGGGGACGACGUCAAGUCAUCAUGGCCCUUACGCCCAGGGCUACACACGUGCUACAAUGGAGAGUACAGAGGGUCGCUACACAGCAAUGUGAUGCCAAUCUCAAAAAGCUCUUCUCAGUUCGGAUUGGGGUCUGCAACUCGACCCCAUGAAGGU
This 197-nucleotide ribosomal RNA is filed under the name Haptolina brevifila. RNAcentral describes it as "partial Bacterial small subunit ribosomal RNA". It matches the Rfam family "Bacterial small subunit ribosomal RNA", at positions 1131 to 1325 of the family's 1533-position model. Lineage: Eukaryota; Haptophyta; Prymnesiales; Prymnesiaceae. The record is from RNAcentral.